This 128-nucleotide ribosomal RNA is filed under the name Microtus ochrogaster (prairie vole). The record is from RNAcentral. Lineage: Eukaryota; Metazoa; Chordata; Mammalia; Rodentia; Cricetidae.
AUCUACGGCCAUACCACCCUGAGUGCUCCAUCUCGUCUGAUCUUGGAAGUUAAGCAGGGUCGUGCCUGGUUAGUACUUGGAUGGGAGAGAAAGAAAAACAAAACAGAACUAAUUCGUACCUGUUUUUC